UGGAUGAGGUAUGCGGAAUGUGUAGUGUAGCGGUGAAAUGCAUAGAUAUUACACAGAACACCGAUUGCGAAGGCAGCAUACUGGGCCAUUACUGACGCUGAGGCACGAAAGCGUGGGGAUCAAACAGGAUUAGAUACCCUGGUAGUCCACGCUGUAAACGAUGAUCACUCGCUGUUUGCGAUAUACAGCAAGCGGUUGAGCGAAAGCAAUAAGUGAUCCACCUGGGGAGUACGAUCGCAGGGUUGAAACUC
This 251-nucleotide ribosomal RNA is filed under the name uncultured bacterium. RNAcentral describes it as "partial 16S ribosomal RNA". It matches the Rfam family "Bacterial small subunit ribosomal RNA", at positions 649 to 902 of the family's 1533-position model. The record is from RNAcentral.